This 246-nucleotide ribosomal RNA is filed under the name Triticum aestivum (bread wheat). RNAcentral describes it as "partial small subunit ribosomal RNA". Lineage: Eukaryota; Viridiplantae; Streptophyta; Magnoliopsida; Poales; Poaceae. The record is from RNAcentral.
AUGGACAGUAUCUCAGCUCUUUGGUACUCUUUGAUUUUUCUGUGGGACCAAAGAAAAGGUACCUCAUCCGGUCCUGCCAAGAUAUGGCUAUGCUUGUCCUCAAAACUAUCAACAUACCAAACCCCAUGCUUUUGGUCAAGCUUCACGGUCAGGUGCGCUUCACAGUGGCAGCGUGUCUCGGCUCUAAGCCUAUGGCUGUGUCCUUCCUCGUUUUGCUAUACCUGGCCUUAUUCUUUCGAAUGCUGA